This 262-nucleotide unclassified non-coding RNA is filed under the name Glomeromycetes sp. RNAcentral's name for it is "partial contains 5.8S ribosomal RNA and internal transcribed spacer 2". The stretch from base 1 to 71 matches the Rfam family "5.8S ribosomal RNA", at positions 84 to 154 of the family's 154-position model. Lineage: Eukaryota; Fungi; Glomeromycota; Glomeromycetes. The record is from RNAcentral.
GUGAAUCAUCAAAUUUUUGAACGCAAGUUGCGCUUCCUGGCAUCCCGGGAAGUAUGCCUGUUUGAGGGUCAGUAUUAAUAAAAAAUCGGUUUAGUUAGAAAUUGUGACUUUUUCGGAGUUUUGGCUGUGUUAACGUUUUUGGUUAAGAGGAUUAAAAUUGUCCUUUUUUGCGCAUUUUUAAACGUACAUCAAUUUUUUUUAUUCGUCUAUUCUUUUUUCCCAAUUCUUAUUAGAUGCGAUCACAUCGUGUGGCUUUGUGUCC